Molecule: RNA transcript, 665 nt
Organism: Bactrocera neohumeralis
Lineage: Eukaryota; Metazoa; Arthropoda; Insecta; Diptera; Tephritidae
Gene name: migration and invasion enhancer 1
Exons: 3
Source: RefSeq, a predicted model, not a curated record
CAAGUUCAAUGCUAAAAACAGCUGACAUUUUUAUUUUAUGUAAACAAAGGAUCGAAUUUUCUACUUUGGUAAAAUUUAACAAAAAUAUACAAUAGAAUGGUCAAAGUUGAUGUUGAGUACUGUCCGAAAUGCAAUUUCGAGUGGCAAUGCAAAAUGCUACAAAAUUUCCUACUCCAACAAAAACCAGAUGCGGAAGUCGUAUGUUCUAAAGGACGUCAGGGGUCAUUUGAAGUAAAAAUAGAUGACACUUUGGUACAUUCCAAAUUGCAGUCGUUUGCAUUUCCUGAUCACGAAAGUGUUUUGGAAAAUGUACGACGUGCCGAAAAGGGUCAACCAAUAGAAAAAGUUAAAGAGCAACCAAUUGACAAUUGCAUGUUAAUGUGAUAGCAAAAAUGCAAUCGACACAGUGACUUGAAAACUCCUGAGUACGCUGUAAUUUUCCAAUCCCUUACGUUUAAAAUUAUAAAUGAGAAAAGCUAGCAUACCUUGGCAUAUGAAACAAAUAGAAGCACUGCGAAGGGCAAAUCGAUACAAGUUGAUGUGGAACAUUGGUGAGCGCUAGAUUACAUUCUUUUAAAUUUGUGGUUCACCGUACAAUUUGCGUUUAGUGGCUUAUGUGCAGCGCAUGCGCGGCAGUGCAGAUCCCUGCAGAAAUAUAUAAUGAA